RNAcentral lists this ribosomal RNA (258 nucleotides) under uncultured bacterium. RNAcentral's name for it is "partial 16S ribosomal RNA". It matches the Rfam family "Bacterial small subunit ribosomal RNA", at positions 335 to 586 of the family's 1533-position model. The record is from RNAcentral.
GCCCUACGGGAGGCAGCAGUAGGGAAUCUUCCACAAUGGACGAAAGUCUGAUGGAGCAGCGCCGCGUGAGUGAAGAAGGGUUUCGGCUCGUAAAGCUCUUUUGGUAGUGAAGAAAGAUAGAGGUAGUAACUGGCCUUUAUUUGACGGUAAUUACUUAGAAAGUCACGGCUAACUACGUGCCAGCAGCCGCGGUAAUACGUAGGGGACAAGCGUUGUCCGGAUUUAUUGGGCGUAAAGCGAGUGAAGGCGGGUGCAUAA